GUGUAGUGUUAGGGCAAAAACUUAAAUGUGCACCCCUUUGGGUCCCCAGGACCAGGAUUGAGAGAGACUGGGUCUGAGUAGUGAUUAAAUGGUUCAGUCCGUAGGUCAGAGAGACUGGGUCUGAGUAGUGAUUAAAUGGUUCAGUCCAUAGGUUAGAGAGACUGGGUCUGGGUAGUGAUUAAAUGGUUCAGUCCAUAGGUUAGAGAGACUGGGUCUGGGUAGUGAUUAAAUGGUUCAGUCCAUAGGUUAGAGAGACUGGAUAGUGUAUAUGGAUUUUCACUGAUUUAACAAGUAAUGGUUAAACAAUCCGCCAAACUUUAAUACAAAAAUAUGGUCAUAAGAAUUGAUUAUAAAAGCAUUGCACAAGAUUAUAAAAGCAUUGCACAAGAAUAGUCAUAUUCUUAUAUAAACAGUCUCUCUGAUAACAAACCACUGUUUACUGUAUUGUGAUAUAUGUUUUAAAGGCAAGUCAAAUCCAUUGUUUUUUUUAGAGGCAGUUGCAUGAUGACCAAUGUGUAAAGCCUAAUCGUGUUAUAAUCACAUUAUAAUAUUCAUAAGAGAAAAUCCCUCCACAUCUGUCACAUAGCAAAUCCUAUUGCCUCUAAUGACAAUGAAAGAUGACAUUCCCUUGGAGGUCAAUAGUGAUCAGGUCUCCACGUGAAAUUGUGUGACUGCCUUUGUAAGGACACCUUUCUUUCUUACUGUGUGGAGUUCCCUAUUGGUCCAUGCAAUAUUCUGAGGUCUCCCAAUUGGUCCAUACGAUGUUCCAAGUUCCCCAUUGGUCCAUACAAUAUUCCAAGUUCCCCAUUGGUUCAUAUGACAUUCAGAGAUCCCCAUUGGUCCAUGUGAUAUUCAGGGUUGGUCCAUACGAUGUUCCAAGUUCCCCAUUGGACCAUAUAUGAUAUUCAAUGUACCCCAUUGGUCCAUACGAUAUUCAGAUACCUGAUUUAUGUGGUCCAUGUGUAACCAGGCCAGUGCAGCACAGCCCUGCGGCUCGGCUUUGUAAUAGUGUUUCAGUAGUGUUUAAUUGGUAAGAGUUGCCUAUCCUCCCUGGGGCCAUCUGUGUUUCCCCAGCCAGACCCAUACUGUACAUAUAGCUGUGUUUCCCCAGCCAGACCCAUACUGUACAUAUAGCUGUGUUUCCCCAGCCAGACCCAU
RNAcentral lists this long non-coding RNA (1158 nucleotides) under Salmo salar (Atlantic salmon). RNAcentral describes it as "lncRNA (ENSSSAG00000102847.1)". The record is from RNAcentral. Lineage: Eukaryota; Metazoa; Chordata; Actinopteri; Salmoniformes; Salmonidae.